UAACUGUGGUUCAACUGCCAA
Molecule: non-coding RNA, 21 nt
Filed under: Caenorhabditis elegans
Lineage: Eukaryota; Metazoa; Nematoda; Chromadorea; Rhabditida; Rhabditidae
Source: RNAcentral